UACGUAGGGUGCAAGCGUUGUCCGGAAUUAUUGGGCGUAAAGAGCUCGUAGGCGGUUUGUCGCGUCUGCUGUGAAAACCCGAGGCUCAACCUCGGGCCUGCAGUGGGUACGGGCAGACUAGAGUGUGGUAGGGGAGACUGGAAUUCCUGGUGUAGCGGUGGAAUGCGCAGAUAUCAGGAGGAACACCGAUGGCGAAGGCAGGUCUCUGGGCCAUUACUGACGCUGAGGAGCGAAAGCAUGGGGAGCGAACAGG
RNAcentral lists this ribosomal RNA (253 nucleotides) under uncultured bacterium. RNAcentral's name for it is "partial 16S ribosomal RNA". It matches the Rfam family "Bacterial small subunit ribosomal RNA", at positions 524 to 776 of the family's 1533-position model. The record is from RNAcentral.